CCCUGCUAACAACCCCGCAAGAUGCCACACUGAUAGUAUCGAGGGCUGACUUAGAGUCAGGAUCUGUCAAGAGGAGAAGCCCUUCCGUGCCCGGUGGCAGGGAACAGAGAAGACAACAAUCUGCCUGACCCAGCGAUGUUAGAAGCCCCUUGUUCCUGAACUUAUUUAAUUAUCAAGGAAAAGCGCCUUUGUUCAAAUGAAGCCAUGGAGUUUCUUGGCAAGAAGCGCACCUUAGAGAAUUUCCAUCUUCUUUCAGCUCUCCUUAACUCAGAAAAGGAAGAAUCCCAGGAUUGAGGACUUUGCUGUUCAGAGAAGAUCCUCUCUGAUUGCUGUUCAAUUAAAUAUUUUUCGCCAG
Molecule: non-coding RNA, 355 nt
Organism: Pantherophis guttatus
Lineage: Eukaryota; Metazoa; Chordata; Lepidosauria; Squamata; Colubridae
Source: RefSeq, a predicted model, not a curated record